Molecule: long non-coding RNA, 266 nt
Filed under: Elaeis guineensis (African oil palm)
Lineage: Eukaryota; Viridiplantae; Streptophyta; Magnoliopsida; Arecales; Arecaceae
Description: long non-coding RNA (EGUI_LNC057842)
Source: RNAcentral
AUAUAGCAUGAACUACAUGUUGAUCAUAUCAACAUGUUUCUAUACUACAUCUAAUGUAUGUAUUAAACAAUAGAUCAGAUCUAUUACCUUGCAAGUUAGACAUUCUAACCUCGCUGAUCUGGGCUUGAGGAUGAUGCUGCAAGCCGCACAUGCAUCCGGCCUCUAGGAGUCGUCCACACGAGCUCACGAAUCUUGAUCAGAAGUCCUGCUUCAGGAAAUCAGCACAGUAUGCUAGUACUGCGCUGAUCCUUCUUUGAUGGUUGAUC